This 1679-nucleotide ribosomal RNA is filed under the name Melichthys vidua (pinktail triggerfish). RNAcentral describes it as "16S rRNA". The stretch from base 108 to 1567 matches the Rfam family "Bacterial large subunit ribosomal RNA". Lineage: Eukaryota; Metazoa; Chordata; Actinopteri; Tetraodontiformes; Balistidae. The record is from RNAcentral.
AGCCCAACAGCUAGCCUACCCCUACAAACUCAACAACCAAACAUUAAUAACCCCACAUGCACCAUAAAACUAAAACAAACCAUUUUUCCACUCUAGUAUAGGAGAUAGAAAAAGAUCAUAGAGCAAUAGAAAAAGUACCGCAAGGGAAAGCUGAAAGAGAAAUGAAACAAUCCAGUAAAGCUAAGAAAAGCAGAGACCACCCCUCGUACCUUUUGCAUCAUGAAUUAGCUAGCAACCCCAAGCAAAGAGAGCUUUAGUUUGAACCCCCGAAACUAAGUGAGCUACUCCAGGACAGCCUAUUAAAAGGGCACAUCCGUCUCUGUGGCAAAAGAGUGGAAAGAUCCUUGAGUAGAGGCGAUAAACCUACCGAACUUAGUUAUAGCUGGUUGCCUGAGAAAUGGAUAGAAGUUCAGCCCCCUAGCCUCUUCCCUCAAACUCGUACAACUAUACCCGACCCAAAGAGCGCUAUGGGAGUUAGUUACAGGGGGUACAGCCCCUGUAACACAAGAUACAACUUUAACAGGAGGAUUAAGAUCAAAUUCAAUAAGGACAUUAUGUUUAGGUGGGCCUAAAAGCAGCCACCCUGACCGAAAGCGUUAAAGCUCAAACAUCUAAUUUCCUAUAAUCCCGAUAACACAAAUCUAAAGCCCCUAAAAGUAUCAGGCCUUUCCAUGCAAGCAUGGAAUCAAUCAUGCUAAUAUGAGUAAUAAGGAAGUACCGACUUCCUCCAAGCACAAGUGUACAUCAGAACGAACCCCCACCGAAAAUUAACGGCCCCAGCCAAUAGAGGGAAAUGACAGCUAUAAAAAUCACAAGAAAAAUGCUCAAACAAAUAACCGUUAACCCCACACUGGAGUGCCCCUAAGGAAAAACUAAAAGGAAAAGAAGGAACUCGGCAAACACAAGCCUCGCCUGUUUACCAAAAACAUCGCCUCUUGCAAAAUAUAUGAAUAAGAGGUCCUGCCUGCCCUGUGACUAUACGUUUAACGGCCGCGGUAUUUUGACCGUGCGAAGGUAGCGCAAUCACUUGUCUCUUAAAUGGGGACCUGUAUGAAUGGCAUAACGAGGGUUUAACUGUCUCCUUUUCCAAGUUAAUGAAAUUGAUCCCCCCGUGCAGAAGCGGGGAUAAAGACAUAAGACGAGAAGACCCUAUGGAGCUUUAGGCAACAAGCAGACCGUAACAAACAUCCCUCAUAAAGGAACAAGACAUACGAAACCUGACCCAAUGCCUUUGGUUGGGGCGACCGCGGGGAAACAAGAAACCCCCAUGUGGAAUGGGACCACCAAUCCUCCAAACAAGAGCCUCCGCUCUAAAAAACAGAAUAUCUGACCUAUAAGAUCCGGCAAAGCCGAUCAACGAACCGAGUUACCCUAGGGAUAACAGCGCAAUCUCCUUAUAGAGUCCAUAUCGACAAGGAGGUUUACGACCUCGAUGUUGGAUCAGGAUAUCCUAAUGGUGCAACCGCUAUUAAGGGUUCGUUUGUUCAACGAUUAAAAUCCUACGUGAUCUGAGUUCAGACCGGAGUAAUCCAGGUCGGUUUCUAUCUAUGAUGCAAUCCUUUUUCAGUACGAAAGGACCAAAAAGAAGAGGCCCCUGUCAAAAACACGCCUCACCCCAACUCGCUGCAUCCAACUUAAGCGAACAAUGGGACGCCCAACCUAGUUAAAGAAUAUAACAU